RNAcentral lists this ribosomal RNA (253 nucleotides) under uncultured bacterium. RNAcentral describes it as "partial 16S ribosomal RNA". It matches the Rfam family "Bacterial small subunit ribosomal RNA", at positions 524 to 776 of the family's 1533-position model. The record is from RNAcentral.
UACGUAGGGAGCAAGCGUUGUUCGGAUUUACUGGGCGUAAAGGGCGCGUAGGCGGCGCGACAAGUCACUUGUGAAAUCUCCGGGCUUAACUCGGAACGGUCAAGUGAAACUGUCAUGCUAGAGUGCAGAAGGGGCAAUCGGAAUUCUUGGUGUAGCGGUGAAAUGCGUAGAUAUCAAGAGGAACACCUGAGGUGAAGACGGGUUGCUGGGCUGACACUGACGCUCAUGCACGAAAGCGUGGGGAGCAAACAGG